This 401-nucleotide ribosomal RNA is filed under the name uncultured bacterium. Its description in RNAcentral is "bacterial SSU rRNA". It matches the Rfam family "Bacterial small subunit ribosomal RNA", at positions 356 to 774 of the family's 1533-position model. The record is from RNAcentral.
GGGGAAUAUUGCACAAUGGGCGAAAGCCUGAUGCAACAACGCCGCGUGAGUGAUGAAGGCCUUCGGGUUGUAAAGCUCUGUCUUCUGGGACGAUAAUGACGGUACCAGAGGAGGAAGCCACGGCUAACUACGUGCCAGCAGCCGCGGUAAUACGUAGGUGGCAAGCGUUGUCCGGAUUUACUGGGCGUAAAGGAUGCGUAGGCGGAUACUUAAGUCAGAUGUGAAAAUCCCGGGCUUAACUUGGGAACUGCAUUUGAAACUGGGUAUCUAGAGUGCGGGAGAGGAAAGUGGAAUUCCUAGUGUAGCGGUGAAAUGCGUAGAGAUUAGGAAGAACACCCGUGGCGAAGGCGACUUUCUGGACCGUAACUGACGCUGAGGCAUGAAAGCGUGGGGAGCAAACA